RNAcentral lists this ribosomal RNA (160 nucleotides) under uncultured bacterium. RNAcentral's name for it is "partial 16S ribosomal RNA". It matches the Rfam family "Bacterial small subunit ribosomal RNA", at positions 338 to 513 of the family's 1533-position model. The record is from RNAcentral.
CCUACGGGAGGCAGCAGUGGGGAAUAUUUGCACAAUGGGCGCAAGCCUGAUGCAGCAACGCCGCGUGAAGGAAGACGGUUUUCGGAUUGUAAACUUCUGUUCUUAGUGAAGAAUAAUGACGGUAGCUAAGGAGCAAGCCACGGCUAACUACGUGCCAGCA